CGCUCUGGAGAGUAUUAAAGUCUCAUUUUCGCCAUGCUUCUGUUCCCUAGUCCGUCAUUUGAAAUUUGGACAGCCUCAGUUUAAGGC
Myotis davidii is the source of this 87-nucleotide long non-coding RNA. RefSeq lists it as uncharacterized. The transcript has 3 exons. NCBI's taxonomy places the organism in Eukaryota, Metazoa, Chordata, Mammalia, Chiroptera, Vespertilionidae. The record is from RefSeq and is a predicted model, not a curated record.